Molecule: ribosomal RNA, 819 nt
Filed under: Loramyces macrosporus
Lineage: Eukaryota; Fungi; Ascomycota; Leotiomycetes; Helotiales; Mollisiaceae
Description: eukaryotic LSU rRNA
Rfam family: Eukaryotic large subunit ribosomal RNA
Source: RNAcentral
GAUUACCUCAGUAACGGCGAGUGAAGCGGUAACAGCUCAAAUUUGAAAGCUGCCAACAGGUCGCGUUGUAAUUUGUAGAAGAUGCUUUGGGUGUUGGCCUAGUCUAAGUUCCUUGGAACAGGACGUCAUAGAGGGUGAGAAUCCCGUAUGUGAUUAGUGCCUCCCCCCGUGUAAAGCUCUUUCGACGAGUCGAGUUGUUUGGGAAUGCAGCUCAAAAUGGGUGGUAAAUUUCAUCUAAAGCUAAAUAUUGGCCAGAGACCGAUAGCGCACAAGUAGAGUGAUCGAAAGAUGAAAAGCACUUUGGAAAGAGAGUUAAACAGUACGUGAAAUUGUUGAAAGGGAAGCGCUUGCAAUCAGACUUGCAGGCGGUUGAUCAUCCGGGGUUUUCCCCGGUGCACUCGAUCGUCUUCAGGCCAGCAUCAGUUCUCGUGGUGGGAUAAAGGCUGUGAGAAUGUGGCUCUUCGGAGUGUUAUAGCUCACGGUGCAAUGCUGCCUACGGGGACUGAGGACCGCGCUUCGGCUAGGAUGCUGGCGUAAUGGUUGUAAGCGACCCGUCUUGAAACACGGACCAAGGAGUCUAACAUCUAUGCGAGUGUUUGGGUGUCAAACCCAUACGCGUAAUGAAAGUGAACGGAGGUGAGAACCCUUUAGGGCGCAUCAUCGACCGAUCCUGAUGUCUUCGGAUGGAUUUGAGUAAGAGCAUAGCUGUUGGGACCCGAAAGAUGGUGAACUAUGCGUGAAUAGGGUGAAGCCAGAGGAAACUCUGGUGGAGGCUCGCAGCGGUUCUGACGUGCAAAUCGAUCGUCAAAUUUGCGUAUA